GAUGAACGCUGGCGGCGUGCCUAAUACAUGCAAGUCGAGCGAACAGACGAGGAGCUUGCUCCUCUGACGUUAGCGGCGGACGGGUGAGUAACACGUGGAUAACCUACCUAUAAGACUGGGAUAACUUCGGGAAACCGGAGCUAAUACCGGAUAACAUGUUGAACCGCAUGGUUCAACAGUGAAAGACGGUCUUGCUGUCACUUAUAGAUGGAUCCGCGCCGCAUUAGCUAGUUGGUAGGGUAACGGCUUACCAAGGCAACGAUGCGUAGCCGACCUGAGAGGGUGAUCGGCCACACUGGAACUGAGACACGGUCCAGACUCCUACGGGAGGCAGCAGUAGGGAAUCUUCCGCAAUGGGCGAAAUCCUGACGGAGCAACGCCGCGUGAGUGAAGAAGGUCUUCGGAUCGUAAAACUCUGUUAUUAGGGAAGAACAAAUGUGUAAGUAACUAUGCACGUCUUGACGGUACCUAAUCAGAAAGCCACGGCUAACUACGUG
This 497-nucleotide ribosomal RNA is filed under the name uncultured bacterium. RNAcentral's name for it is "partial 16S ribosomal RNA". It matches the Rfam family "Bacterial small subunit ribosomal RNA", at positions 28 to 507 of the family's 1533-position model. The record is from RNAcentral.